UUAGUGGCGAACGGGUGAGUAACACGUGGGCAAUCUGCCCUGCACUCUGGGACAAGCCCUGGAAACGGGGUCUAAUACCGGAUACGACCACUGAGGGCAUCCUCGGUGGUGGAAAGCUCCGGCGGUGCAGGAUGAGCCCGCGGCCUAUCAGCUUGUUGGUGGGGUGAUGGCCUACCAAGGCGACGACGGGUAGCCGGCCUGAGAGGGCGACCGGCCACACUGGGACUGAGACACGGCCCAGACUCCUACGGGAGGCAGCAGUGGGGAAUAUUGCACAAUGGGCGAAAGCCUGAUGCAGCGACGCCGCGUGAGGGAUGACGGCCUUCGGGUUGUAAACCUCUUUCAGCAGGGAAGAAGCGAAAGUGACGGUACCUGCAGAAGAAGCGCCGGCUAACUACGUGCCAGCAGCCGCGGUAAUACGUAGGGCGCGAGCGUUGUCCGGAAUUAUUGGGCGUAAAGAGCUCGUAGGCGGCUUGUCACGUCGGUUGUGAAAGCCCGGGGCUUAACCCCGGGUCUGCAGUCGAUACGGGCAGGCUAGAGUUCGGUAGGGGAGAUCGGAAUUCCUGGUGUAGCGGUGAAAUGCGCAGAUAUCAGGAGGAACACCGGUGGCGAAGGCGGAUCUCUGGGCCGAUACUGACGCU
Molecule: ribosomal RNA, 641 nt
Filed under: Streptomyces sp.
Lineage: Bacteria; Bacillati; Actinomycetota; Actinomycetes; Kitasatosporales; Streptomycetaceae
Description: bacterial SSU rRNA
Rfam family: Bacterial small subunit ribosomal RNA
Source: RNAcentral